AGAGUUUGAUCCUGGCUCAGAGUGAACGUUGGCGGCGCGCCUAACACAUGCAAGUCGAGCGAAAAAGCUCCUUCGGGAGUGAGUAAAGCGGCGAACGGUUGAGUAACACGUGAGAAUCUACCCUUCAGUGAAGAAUACCUUUGAGAAAUCGAAGUUAAUGCUGCAUAAUCCCCUUCGGGGGCAAAGGUGGCCUCUUUGCUGCCGCUGAAGGAUGAGCUUGCGGCCUAUCAGCUAGUUGGUGAGGUAAAAGCUUACCAAGGCAACGACGGGUAGCCGGCCUGAGAGGGUGAUCGGCCAGACUGGAACUUAGACACGGUCCAGACUCCUACGGGAGGCAGCAGUGGGGAAUCUUGCGCAAUGGGCGAAAGCCUGACGCAGCGACGCCGCGUGGAGGAUGAAAGUCUUCGGA
RNAcentral lists this ribosomal RNA (409 nucleotides) under uncultured Candidatus Babelota bacterium. Its description in RNAcentral is "bacterial SSU rRNA". It matches the Rfam family "Bacterial small subunit ribosomal RNA", at positions 8 to 422 of the family's 1533-position model. The record is from RNAcentral.